GGGCACAUCAGGGGCAUGACGUUACAUGUUAUUUUGUCAUGUUGAAGCGAAGUGUCGAUACAUCCUGUCACAAUACUUCAAAGGUCAACAUUGUGGAGAGUAGUGUGUAACAUCACUACUACGUUUCACUGGAGAGUCGUAAAAGGUCCAUCAGCGAUUACCGAGGACCGACAGACCACAACUUUACUCAGGGCGAAGGUUGCUGACGCUGUUCAAUAGUUAGAAGGAUCCGUUUUGACAAGAACACGUCACGUUAGCUACAAGAUAGCUAACUGACUAAUUAAGUUGUUUUUCGGAGUUUUUCGCUCACUGGAGGGAAUGGAGAAAGCUAAACAAGAUGCAUUCGACAGUGCCAGACUUCAAGUUAUCAAAGAUGGCUAUGAGAGGGCUUUCGAGUGCAUUAAUAAAGGACUCACAAUAGAUGAAGCUGGGGAGAAGGCACAGGCCCUGGAGCUCUACAAGCGAGGGCGACAGCACCUUCUCCGGGCCAUUAGUGUGCCCUCACAAGGAGAGGAGUGUGUCGGCAGCUCCUGGGAAUCAGCCAGGCAGAUGCAGCAGAAGAUGCAGGAGACGCUGAACAACAUCACCACUCGCCUGGCCAUACUAGAGACCAGCUCGGACCUUGAAUCUGCAACUACACUGAACACUAGCAGUGUGUCUGGCCUUGAUGCUACAAACGUGUCUGAAGAAGGUCUCUACCCAAAACUUCCCACCAAAAACAAGCCAGAGAAGCCAGCUCCACCAAAGCUACUUACUCCUAACAGCCAGGCAGCAGGAGCUGUAGGAGGGGUGCCAGCAUGCAGUAGUGAGGGUCUACCUCUCUCACCUACCAGACAGCCUGUGGUUCCAGCGGAAAAGCCUCCAGCUUACUCUCCUCAGGCAGCUGACGGCCACCUAUCUGUCUCAUAUGGAACGGAGUCAGGGGAAAUGUCAUUGGUUGGGGAUGAGUUCUACAGCCGUACAUCUAACUCAACACCAUCUCCCCAGAGUAUGGGAGAAGAAGGAGAGGAGCUGGUGUAUAUCCCUCAUGGUGUACAGAUAUUCUUUGUCACUCCUGAAGGGCAGGUGAGCGCUCCGUCGUACCCGGGCUUCCUGCGGCUGGUGAAGUUUACUGGUGACCAUGAAGCGAGGCCCAACCGACCACCAGCAUUUCUGCAGGUGUGUGACUGGCUAUACCCUCUCAUGGCCAUGGACUCACCAGUGUUGCUGUGUAACACUGGUGUGUUUAUGUUUCCGGACAUGAUGGCGCCAGGUCCAGGCUAUUAUGUUGGGGUGGUGUUGUCCUCUGAGCUGCCUGCUGCAGACAGACAGCUGUUCCAGGACCUGCUGUCCCAGAUGACAGAUCUCAGGGUACAGGCUCCAGAUGAAGCUGCAGACAACGUUAAUCUCAGUCAGAAGGUGUCCAUCGCUACACCCGAGGAGACUGAACCAGCUGUGAUCGAGGAGGAGAAGGCUCUGCCCGAGUGGAGUGAAAAGGUGGCCAGCGGGAUCCUGACAGGUGCGUCAUGGCUAAGCUGGGGCCUGGUGAAAGGAGCAGAGUUUACAGGCAAGGCCAUUCACAAAGGGGCAUCUAAACUCAGGGAACACAUCACCCCAGAGGACACACCCACCCACGUCAGCCCCACCGUCACCAAAGGCCUCCACGUUGCCAAGCAAGCGACCGGGGGAGCUGUCAAAGUCAGCCAGUUUCUAGUGGACGGGGUGUGCACGGUCGCUGGCUGUGUGGGUCGAGAGUUGGCACCCCACGUGAAAAAACACGGCGGCAAGCUGAUCCCAGAGUCUAUGAGGAAAGACAAGGAUGGGCGUUCCAACAUAGAUGGAGCCAUGGUGGUGGCUGCCAGUGGAGUGCAAGGAUUUGCGACCAUGUGGACUGGUUUGGAAGUAGCAGCAAGGGACAUCACUACGAGUGUAGCGUCAGAGACGGUCACCACCGUAAAACACAAAUUUAGGGGUCUACAAAACAUCUUUGACCCACCUAAUGAGAAUAGGUGUCAUUUUUCCUAAUUAUACACAGCUAUUGCUAUUACUACUAUAACUCCUUUCUCCACUAAUCACAAGCAUGACAUGAGUCUUUUUUUUUUUUCUUUCUUUGGAAUGAUUUGGCUCUUGCACAAAGCUCUCUAAAGUUAUCUAAGCUGCUGUGCCUACUCACUGCCCUUCCCUGUGUGGCGGUUCACACAAUGGUGCAGCUUUUCACUGAUUUCUCCAAAUUUCGGUCUAUCCUGAUUUAAAAAAAACAAACAAAUCUUCCCAUAUUGUAUAAAUUGGUAUUACAUGUUCCAAUGAUGAGCAAAAUAUCUACACAGUAUAGUUGAUUAUUUAUUUGCAGGGUUGGGCUAUAUGAGCUAAUAUAAAUUUGUCAACCAUUAAGAGUUUUUGUCAUACAAUUUCUCCCUUUUUAAGUGAAGUAUCAAUUUGACAGGUAUUUAAUUAACUGGAUUAGCCAAAAACAAACAUUCCCAUCCAGCUGUCUUAUAAUUUAAUGGUUUCUUAUUUAAUUAUUUAAUAAUCAAUAUUUUGGGGGGGAAAUUAUACAUACCAAGAUAGAUGAUCAAAUGCCCACCCUUUAAAUGUCUGAACCAUGGUUAAAAAAAAGAUAAAAAUUCAGAUUCUUGCAGUCAAUUUAACUUAACUUAAUUUAGGAUUUCGCACUUGCAUGGGUGUAAUUCUCACAUUAAAAUUCACAUACAGCAUGGCAUCUUGGCAAUCCUUGCUCUGCAUAUUAAUGAAUUCUCCCCAAAUCCUCUUUGUUUCUCGCUCUAACAUCCUAUCCAAUCUGACUUCUGAUGAAGGUAUGGGGCAGCAGCAGGACAGGCCACAGACCACGCUGUCAAUUCUGCCAUUAAUGUCGGUCUCACUGCCUGCAAUGUUGACAACCUGGGGAUCAAAGCUGUGGUGAAAAGGACUGGCAAGCAGACAGCGAAGGCCAUUUUGGAAGAUUACAAGCUCCAGGAAAAACCAGAGAAUGGGAAGCAAGUGGAGAAAUCGGGCAAAUAGCUGGUAGUGCCCUGCCACAUUCCCUCAGUAACGCCUUAAAGCAUAAUUU
Molecule: RNA transcript, 3046 nt
Organism: Sander lucioperca (pikeperch)
Lineage: Eukaryota; Metazoa; Chordata; Actinopteri; Perciformes; Percidae
Gene: spartb
Gene name: spartin b
Exons: 9
Source: RefSeq, a predicted model, not a curated record